RNAcentral lists this ribosomal RNA (1497 nucleotides) under Triticum aestivum (bread wheat). RNAcentral's name for it is "partial small subunit ribosomal RNA". The record is from RNAcentral. Lineage: Eukaryota; Viridiplantae; Streptophyta; Magnoliopsida; Poales; Poaceae.
AUGAAUCAGACAGUCGUCCUGUACCCCAGCGCCUUAGUCGGCCACGUCGGCCCCAUGACGAAGCUCGCCGGUGCCUUCCUCAAGCACGGCUACGACGUCACCGUGGUGCUCGUUGGCUAUGGCACCACCGCCACCGAUCGUACGGCCAUCGAGGGAAUCGUCGCCUCCAACCCGUCCAUCAGCUUCCAUGUCCUCCGGCCGCCUCCUGCUCCUCCAGCCACCAGCUCCGACAGCAAGCACCCUUUACUGGUCCUGCUCGACCUCUUGCGACGGUGCAACGAGCCGCUCGGAGCCUUCCUCGGCUCCAUACCCCGUCAACGCCUCCACUCCGUGGUCAUUGACAUGUUCUGCGUCGACGCCAUUGACGUCGUCGCCGCGGCCGGCGUCCCGGUGUACACAUUCUUCGCCUCCUGCGCCUCCUGCCUGUCGGCCCUGACCCAGUUCCCGGCGCUGGUCGCCGGCAGGCAGACGGGACUGAAGGAUCUCGGGGACACGCCCCUCGACUUGCUCGGCGUCCCACCGAUGCCAGCGUCUCAUUUCACCGAGGUGAUGCUGGAGCACCCGGAGGGCGAGGUGUGCAAGGCCAUAACGGAGAUCUGGAGGCGCAACACGGAGACCAUGGGGGUCCUGGUGAACACGUUCGAGCAGCUGGAGAGCCGGGCGGUGCGGUCGCUCCGGGACCCAGGCCGGAACAUGCCUGCGGUCUACUGCGUCGGGCCGUUGUUGGCCGGCGCUGGCAACGACAAAGGCAAGGACGGCGUCGACGAGUGCCUUGCGUGGCUGGACGCACAGCCAGACGGCAGCGUGGUGUUCCUCUGCUUCGGAAGCAUGGGCGUGCUCUCGGCGAAGCAGCUCAAGGAGAUGGCCGUCGGGCUGGAGAGGUCCGGGCACCGGUUCCUGUGGUGCGUGCGCGUGCCGGCGGCCGCGGCCGGUCACGUCGACGAGCACUCGGAGCAGGAGCAGGAGCCGGAGCUGGACGCGGUCCUCCCGGAGGGGUUCCUGGAGCGAACCAAGAACAAGGGCAUGGUCGUCAAGUCGUGGGCGCCGCAGGUGGAGGUGCUCCGGCACCGCGCGACGGGCGCGUUCGUGACGCACUGCGGGUGGAACUCGGUGCUGGAGUCCGUGGCGGCGGGGGUCCCGAUGCUGUGCUGGCCGCUGUACGCGGAGCAGAAGAUGAACAAGGUGUGGAUGACGGCGGGGGACGGCAUGGGCGUGGCGCUAGAGCUGGAGGGGUACCGGGACGGGUUCGUCGGAGCGGAGGAGGUGGAGGCCAAGGUGAGGCUGGUGAUGACGACGGAGGGCGAGGAAGGGGUCGUGCAGCUCAGGGCGCGGCUAAGGGGUCUCAGGGACGAGGCGGAGGCGGCGCUGGCGGACGGGGGCUCGUCGCGGGUGGACUUUCUCCGGUUCCUGUUGGACGUGAAGAAUCUCGAAGUCGGAGGGAGGGGAGCAGCUCAUCCAGUGAACAACCUGCAAAUCUUGAAUGCUGAAGCACCGUAG